GAGCCAUUACAUUAAGCUACAGUGGUUCUGGUGACUAUAGUGUUCCUUUAAGAAUUUUAUUUUUGUUGUUGAGAAAAAAACUGGCUCCCAACUUUUUUAGCUGGCUUCUAUAUCUAAAGCAAAUUUGUCAAGAACUGUACUAGAAUACUUAUAUUCCCAUGUCUAUGACUUUGCAUAGCUUAGUAUCUCUCUCAAUAGUAAAUCUAGACAUGUUAUGCUUAGCCUGUACUCUACACUACAUUGAAAAAUUGUGCCAUAUACUCUAAUGCCUCGUAACUUUAAUGCUUUGUCAUUCACUGUCUUGCAAAUGCUGGUAGGCAUUGUAACAUUUUCUGUUAAUCGUAUGCACACAAAAAUAAAGAAUUAAAAAAAAAUUAUUACAGUAAAAGCAACAAAAAAAGUGCAAUUGCAUGCUUGCAUUAAAAGUAGCAGGUGAGGAGUUAUGAUUAUCUCCUGAACUUGUACUAAAAAGCAUUAAUGCAAGAGAACAG
Molecule: non-coding RNA, 491 nt
Organism: Pelobates cultripes (western spadefoot toad)
Lineage: Eukaryota; Metazoa; Chordata; Amphibia; Anura; Pelobatidae
Source: the annotation of a GenBank genome assembly